UUCGGAGUAAAGCUACGGCGGUUUGGGAACGGCCUGCGCAUGAUUAGCUUGUUGGUGAGGUAAUAGCUCACCAAGGCGACGAUCAUUAGCUGGUCUGAGAGGAUGAUCAGCCAGACUGGGACUGAGAACGGCCCAGACUCCUACGGGAGGCAGCAGUAGGGAAUUUUCCACAAUGGGGGCAACCCUGAUGGAGCAACGCCGCGUGCAGGAUGAAGGCCCUAGGGUCGUAAACUGCUUUUAUCUGUGACGAAUAUGACGGUAGCAGAUGAAUAAGGAUCGGCUAACUCCGUG
Molecule: ribosomal RNA, 291 nt
Filed under: uncultured bacterium
Lineage: Bacteria
Description: partial 16S ribosomal RNA
Rfam family: Bacterial small subunit ribosomal RNA
Source: RNAcentral